Long non-coding RNA from Anguilla rostrata (American eel), 2612 nucleotides. RefSeq lists it as uncharacterized. NCBI's taxonomy places the organism in Eukaryota, Metazoa, Chordata, Actinopteri, Anguilliformes, Anguillidae. The record is from RefSeq and is a predicted model, not a curated record. The transcript is spliced from 3 exons.
GUUGGGCUCUGUUCAUUCAGUCAGAAAUAUUUCACAACUUUCACUUUUGAAUCUGCCUGCGCUGCACUAGCCAUCUGACACCCCCACAAUCAGCAUGAGGCCCCUCUGUUGGUCUGUUGGGGGGUUAGAGUAAAAGCUGUGACCCUCACCCCCGGACCAGCCAGUGACCCCCACGCCUCACACACAACCAGUCAGUCAAACUGAAUCCCAAGGGGGGCCGCAGUGUUCGUGGGUUUUUGUGAUUUCCUUUCAAUCAGCAGUCAAUCAAUGCCUUGAGAACAAGGUGUGUGGAUUCAUUAUAGCCAAUCAAUGGCUUAAAUUAAACACUUGUGCCGACAACACCCCAAGAACCAGAAGACUCUGCUGCCCUCCAGGACUGGAGUCAUCUCAGCCCCCCCUGCCCAAUCACGUGAGCGGCUCACCGCAGACAGGAACCUUUCCUCUCCGGCUGUGUGUUUCAGAGGGGAAGGCCAGGACUGAUGCACAACCUGUGUUUAGCAGGUGCUAUCUGUGGACUGAAUACAGAGCUACCGGCUGUGCAUUGUCAAGAGGUGUGAAGUCCGGGGAUCAGGAAGUAAAAGUCCUGCCAUGUGUUUCUGCCACCCAUGAACUCAGCCAACUGAUUUCACUCAUUAGUUCUACAGCCUGGCUGAAGAAUUGUGUUAACGAGCAAAUCCAGGUGAUUGGACCGGAGACAGCAGGCAUGUGGCAGAUGGUGCCGGAGAACGAAUCAGAGAGCAGAGGAUCCCAGCGGCACGGAGACCAGGUCAGAGCGCCUGUGCUGGAGAUACUCGCCAUGUUCAUGUGAGCGAGCUGCUGGGGGGGCGGGGCGGGGGGGGGGCGCUGUAAUUGAUGGGACUGAGUGUUCACACGGACGUUAAAUGAAAUUACCCCAGGGACAGCUUGUGAUUCUGGUCUUUGGAAAUAAAGUCAACUGCAGUGAAUAUUAAUUAUCAGUUAAUUGCAAUUACAAUUAUGUCCUUCUGUAAGCUCGAUUGAUCACCUGCGUCUAAUUCACCUGAAUUCUAAAAUUCAUAAUUGAUGUGAGAGAAGAUGGGGUAUCAGUCAAUUCACAUACAUUUGCACAUACACACACACACACACUCAUACAUGUAUGAACGUAGACACAUACACAUGCACACACACACACACUCACACACAUAUACACAGACUCUUACACACACACACACACAUAUACACAGACUCAGACACACACAUGCGCACACACACGUGCGCACACACUCACACACAUGCACUCACACACACACACACACACACUCUCUCUCUCACACACACACAGACUCAGACACACACAUACACUCUAACAGACACACACUCACACACACGCUCACACACACACACGCCCUGCUGUUUGGGAGGCUGGCGGUGUAAGUGUUUUGCUGAGGGAGGGGAACAGCGGGAAGGGGGCGGAGCCUCUGGGAUUCUGAUGAUGCAGCACAGCCCCAGGGCUCCACUGUCUGGGAGACAUCGAUCCACAAAAUAUAUAAUAGGAUAUCGAGCGAGACAGAACAAAGAUUCAAUUAGCACUGACUGUGUUAUUUAACUACACAUUCUCACGAGAGGGAGAGAGAGAGAGAGAGAAAAAGAGCGACAGAGAAAACCUUUGAAAAUGCUGUAGAUUGUGGGGUCAUGAAGAACACCUUCUAUUUGCAUUUGAAUUUGAAAUAUGAGAGAAUAUGUGAGAGAAAUAAAUCAAAAGAUUGAGGAAGAAAUAGAGACAGACGAGUAUAAGUAUAAAGACAACAUUCAUAUUAUCUUACUUUCCUCACAGUGUGGAAUGGAACAGACCUGGAGAUCAGUGUUAGGAACAGUCCUGGAGAUCAGUGUUAGGAACAGUCCUGGAGAUCAGUGUUAGGAACAGUCCUAGGGAUCAGUGUUUGGAACAGACCUGGAGAUCAGUGUUUGGAACAGACAUGGAGAUCAGUGUUUGGAACAGACAUGUAAGAUCAGUGUUAAGAACAGUCCUGGAGAUCAGUGUUUGGAACAGACAUGGAGAUCAGUGUUAGGAACAGUCCUAGGGAUCAGUGUUUGGAACAGACAUGGAGAUCAGUGUUCGGAUGGUAUCAGGAACUCACCUCCCAGCCCAGAGUUACUAUAAAUCAGUGGUUAUCAAACUUGGUCCUGUGUAUGCUGGCUUUUGUUCCAAACACAACAUUUGCAAUUUCUGAAUUUUAACAGGCCGUUAAUUUUUCUUAAUUGUGACAUUUUGAAUUAACUUCAUUAUUAUUAUUAUUAUUAUUAUUGUUGUUGUUGUUGUUGUUGUUAUUGUUGUUAUUAUUAUUAUUGUUAUUAUUGUUAUUAUUAUUGUUGUUGUUGUUAUUAUCAUUAUUAUUGUUGUUAUUAUUAUCAUUAUUUAUUGUUGUUGUUAUUAUUAUUAUUAUUAUUAUUAUUAUUGUUAUUAUCAUUAUUAUUAUUAUUAUUAUUAUCAUUAUUAUUAUUAUUGUUAUUAUUAUUUACUGUGCAUCAGGUGCAGUAAACCCAAAACAUCAAUGCUAUAUUUUACCCAUACCGUUAUGGCCAAAAGCUGUGUUUUUUAAGCUUUGCUUAUUUUAUUAUUCUGGUUUUCCGUGCAAAAGAAGAAGGAAUGGUGA